UACGUAGGGGGCAAGCGUUGUCCGGAAUCAUUGGGCGUAAAGAGCGUGUAGGCGGUUCGGUAAGUCUGCUGUGAAAGUCCAGGGCUCAACCCUGGGAUGCCGGUGGAUACUGUCGGACUAGAGUACGGAAGAGGCGAGUGGAAUUCCCGGUGUAGCGGUGGAAUGCGCAGAUAUCGGGAGGAACACCAAUUGCGAAGGCAGCUCGCUGGGACGUCACUGACGCUGAGACGCGAAAGCGUGGGGAGCAAACAGG
RNAcentral lists this ribosomal RNA (253 nucleotides) under uncultured bacterium. RNAcentral's name for it is "partial 16S ribosomal RNA". It matches the Rfam family "Bacterial small subunit ribosomal RNA", at positions 524 to 776 of the family's 1533-position model. The record is from RNAcentral.